RNAcentral lists this ribosomal RNA (253 nucleotides) under uncultured bacterium. Its description in RNAcentral is "partial 16S ribosomal RNA". It matches the Rfam family "Bacterial small subunit ribosomal RNA", at positions 524 to 776 of the family's 1533-position model. The record is from RNAcentral.
UACGUAGGCAGCAAGCGUUGUUCGGAGUUACUGGGCGUAAAGGGUGUGUAGGCGGUUGUUUAAGUUUGGUGUGAAAUCUCCCGGCUCAACUGGGAGGGUGCGCCGAAUACUGAAUGACUAGAGUGCGGGAGAGGAAAGUGGAAUUCCUGGUGUAGCGGCGAAAUGCGUAGAUAUCAGGAGGAACACCGGUGGUGUAGACGGCUUUCUGGACCGUAACUGACGCUGAGACACGAAAGCGUGGGUAUCAAACAGG